Sorex araneus (European shrew) is the source of this 76-nucleotide non-coding RNA. The record is from the annotation of a RefSeq genome assembly. Lineage: Eukaryota; Metazoa; Chordata; Mammalia; Eulipotyphla; Soricidae.
GGCAGGGAUGUGGCUCAAGUGGUAGAGUGCAUGCCUUGCAUGUGUGAGGCCCUGGGUUUGAUCCCCAGCACUGCCA